UUGCUGUCACCUGUGGCAAAUAGCUGUGCACCUGCUCAACUGCGGCAUCCAACAGAGACAGAAGCUUCUGCCCGGGUCUUCAAGAAACGCACACGCUGUUCUCCACAUUUCCGUCCACUAGAGCCGCGCGUACGCUCGGGACUUUGCCCUGAUCCGGGUCCAGACGCUAGGACUCCGCGGUGGAGUGGCCUGUUGUAAACCAGCUGCGGACAUGAGCUGUGUGAUGCAACCUCUGAAUUGGAAGACAUUGCCUAGAGGUCCUGCCCAAGAUAAAAUAUCAAGUUGAUGAGGAUCAGCUGUAUCAUCAGAUUGUUCAACACCGAGACUUGAGCCUCCAAGUGGGUCAGUGGGCUGGUUGGUGGUGCAGCCC
This is a long non-coding RNA of Ochotona curzoniae (black-lipped pika), 370 nucleotides long. RefSeq lists it as uncharacterized. The record is from RefSeq and is a predicted model, not a curated record. The transcript is spliced from 3 exons. NCBI's taxonomy places the organism in Eukaryota, Metazoa, Chordata, Mammalia, Lagomorpha, Ochotonidae.